This 1173-nucleotide ribosomal RNA is filed under the name uncultured Nitrosospira sp. Its description in RNAcentral is "bacterial SSU rRNA". It matches the Rfam family "Bacterial small subunit ribosomal RNA", at positions 137 to 1306 of the family's 1533-position model. The record is from RNAcentral. Lineage: Bacteria; Pseudomonadati; Pseudomonadota; Betaproteobacteria; Nitrosomonadales; Nitrosomonadaceae.
UGGGGGAUAACGCAUCGAAAGGUGUGCUAAUACCGCAUAAUCUCUACGGAGAAAAGCAGGGGAUCGCAAGACCUUGCGCUCUUGGAGCGGCCGAUGUCUGAUUAGCUAGUUGGUGAGGUAAAGGCUUACCAAGGCGACGAUCAGUAGCUGGUCUGAGAGGACGACCAGCCACACUGGGAUUGAGACACGGCCCAGACUCCUACGGGAGGCAGCAGUGGGGAAUUUUGGACAAUGGGGGAAACCCUGAUCCAGCCAUGCCGCGUGAGUGAAGAAGGCCUUCGGGUUGUAAGGCUCUUUCAGCCGGAACGAAACGGUCACGGCUAAUACCUGUGACUACUGACGGUACCGGAAGAAGAAGCACCGGCUAACUACGUGCCAGCAGCCGCGGUAAUACGUAGGGUGCAAGCGUUAAUCGGAAUUACUGGGCGUAAAGCGUGCGCAGGCGGUUUUGUAAGUCAGAUGUGAAAUCCCCGGGCUUAACCUGGGAACUGCGUUUGAAACUACAAGGCUAGAGUGUAGCAGAGGGGGGUGGAAUUCCACGUGUAGCAGUGAAAUGCGUAGAGAUGUGGAGGAACACCGAUGGCGAAGGCAGCCCCCUGGGUUAACACUGACGCUCAGGCACGAAAGCGUGGGGAGCAAACAGGAUUAGAUACCCUGGUAGUCCACGCCCUAAACGAUGUCAACUAGUUGUCGGGUCUUAACGGACUUGGUAACGCAGCUAACGCGUGAAGUUGACCGCCUGGGGAGUACGGUCGCAAGAUUAAAACUCAAAGGAAUUGACGGGGACCCGCACAAGCGGUGGAUUAUGUGGAUUAAUUCGAUGCAACGCGAAAAACCUUACCUACCCUUGACAUGUACCGAAGCCCGCUGAGAGGUGGGUGUGCCCGAAAGGGAGCGGUAACACAGGUGCUGCAUGGCUGUCGUCAGCUCGUGUCGUGAGAUGUUGGGUUAAGUCCCGCAACGAGCGCAACCCUUGUCAUUAAUUGCCAUCAUUCAGUUGGGCACUUUAAUGAGACUGCCGGUGACAAACCGGAGGAAGGUGGGGAUGACGUCAAGUCCUCAUGGCCCUUAUGGGUAGGGCUUCACACGUAAUACAAUGGCGCGUACAGAGGGUUGCCAACCCGCGAGGGGGAGCUAAUCUCAGAAAGCGCGUCGUAGUCCGGAUCGGAGUCU